This 66-nucleotide transfer RNA is filed under the name Passalidae sp. GENSP02. RNAcentral's name for it is "tRNA-Trp". The record is from RNAcentral. Lineage: Eukaryota; Metazoa; Arthropoda; Insecta; Coleoptera; Passalidae.
AAGGAUUUAAGUUAAACCUAAACUAUAAACCUUCAAAGUUUAUAAUAAUUUUAUAAUUAAGCCUUA